UUUAAAGUUGGAACGUGAGGAAUUAUUAGAAAAUGAAUAGAAAAUCGAAACAGAAAAAAAACUGCAAUGUUUAUAUACAUUAUACGGUAGCAGAUUACAAAGUGGGGAAAUCUGAAAAUAUCUGGGAAUUUGUAUUUAUUAUUUUAAGCCCUAAACCCCUGAUUACGUCAUGAAAACAAGUGAAAAAAGAGUACUGCAUGCAGCUUUAUUAUGGAGCAUGUGAGUUGUGCAAAUAAAACAUAAAGGUAGACCUUCAGAACAUUGGGCAGGAACAGCAAAGAGUUACCCUGGAGAAAUGGACAAUUUCCUGAACCUGAACCCUCCAGUCUCUGUCAUUCACUUCUGUGUUGCUGAUGGGGUUCGCAGGCAUGCUAAAUGACAAAGUGGUGUGAAAAAAUAUAAUGUAUCCAACCUGUGAUUGACCAU
Molecule: long non-coding RNA, 426 nt
Organism: Triplophysa dalaica
Lineage: Eukaryota; Metazoa; Chordata; Actinopteri; Cypriniformes; Nemacheilidae
Exons: 4
Source: RefSeq, a predicted model, not a curated record